Molecule: ribosomal RNA, 55 nt
Filed under: Crithidia fasciculata
Lineage: Eukaryota; Euglenozoa; Kinetoplastea; Trypanosomatida; Trypanosomatidae
Description: 5.8S ribosomal RNA
Source: RNAcentral
GUGUGUGGAGCACGGCCCCAACAACGUGUCGCGAUGGAUGACUUGGCUUCCUAUU